UGCGGUCUGCGCCUCACGACAGGAUACACAAUCCCCGGGGCCUUACUCGAUCCUAAGGGAGCUGUCCCUGACUCGACCCGUGGGUUUGGUCACACGGCGCCCACCUACGUUGUAGGCACCCGGGAUCGACCUUUCCAUCGGUUGUCGUGGAUCGCAC
Molecule: non-coding RNA, 157 nt
Filed under: Hoeflea marina
Lineage: Bacteria; Pseudomonadati; Pseudomonadota; Alphaproteobacteria; Hyphomicrobiales; Rhizobiaceae
Description: 6S / SsrS RNA
Rfam family: 6S / SsrS RNA
About the family: E. coli 6S RNA was the first non coding RNA to be sequenced, but its function was unknown until recently. It consists of 184 nucleotides that fold into an extended hairpin structure with a large single-stranded internal bulge.
Source: Rfam by way of RNAcentral